GGAAAACAAACAAAAGCACAUUUUUGUAAGCAAAACGUUAAUCAUUGGAAGAAUUGCACCAAUUUCACCAUGACAGUGUGUGAUUAAUCCUCUCGGUCAGGUUACACCUGUUUGGGCCUGAGACUGACGUCAUUUGUACAGUUCAUGUUCAAUGCUGACAGAAGAUCAACACCUUGGAUAGCUUCAGAAAGCCAUUUUUGGGUAAGUAGUUGGAGGCAACACCUAAACCGUAUGUUUUCAGAACUAGGCAGGCUGGGUUACCAGAUUAGCCAGGAGUAUAUUGAGUAAUCAAAGAUAUUAGGGACCUGA
This is a long non-coding RNA of Trachemys scripta elegans, 309 nucleotides long. RefSeq lists it as uncharacterized. The transcript has 3 exons. The record is from RefSeq and is a predicted model, not a curated record. Lineage: Eukaryota; Metazoa; Chordata; Testudines; Emydidae.